AUACAGAGGGUGCGAGCGUUAAUGGGAAUUACUGGGCGUAAAGCGCGCGUAGGCGGCUGAUUAAGUCAGAUGUGAAAUCCCAGGGCUCAACCUUGGAACUGCAUCUGAUACUGGUCAGCUAGAGUUUAGGAGAGGGAAGUAGAAUUUCAGGUGUAGCGGUGAAAUGCAUAGAUAUCUGGAGGAAUACCAGUGGCGAAGGCGGCUUCCUGGCCUAAAACUGACGCUGAGGUGCGAAAGCGUGGGUAGCAAACGGGAUUAGAAACCCCAGUAGUCC
RNAcentral lists this ribosomal RNA (274 nucleotides) under uncultured bacterium. RNAcentral's name for it is "partial 16S ribosomal RNA". It matches the Rfam family "Bacterial small subunit ribosomal RNA", at positions 523 to 796 of the family's 1533-position model. The record is from RNAcentral.